This 258-nucleotide long non-coding RNA is filed under the name Homo sapiens (human). RNAcentral's name for it is "HSALNT0080008". The record is from RNAcentral. Lineage: Eukaryota; Metazoa; Chordata; Mammalia; Primates; Hominidae.
CGGGAGGCGGAGGUUGCGGUGAGCCGAGGUCGUGCCAUUGCACUCCAGUCCAGCCUGGACAACAAGAGUGAAACUCCGUCUCAAAAAAAAAAGUUUCAGAAUGAUGGCCAAAACAACAUUUCUCAUUUAGCAUAGUAACACAGAUCUUCGUGGGAGAAAGGCCAUGUGAAGACACGGUGAGAAGACGGCCAUCUGAAAGUCAGGAGGAGUAUCCUCUUGAGAACUGAAUCAAGCUAGUACUUUGAUCUUGGACUUCCA